This 468-nucleotide ribosomal RNA is filed under the name uncultured bacterium. RNAcentral describes it as "bacterial SSU rRNA". It matches the Rfam family "Bacterial small subunit ribosomal RNA", at positions 329 to 795 of the family's 1533-position model. The record is from RNAcentral.
UUCCAGACUCCUACGGGAGGCAGCAGUGAGGAAUAUUGGUCAAUGGGCGCGAGCCUGAACCAGCCAAGUCGCGUGAGGGAUGACGGCCCUACGGGUUGUAAACCUCUUUUGUCGGGGAGCAAAUUCCGUUACGUGUAACGGAGUCGAGAGUACCCGAAGAAAAAGCAUCGGCUAACUCCGUGCCAGCAGCCGCGGUAAUACGGAGGAUGCGAGCGUUAUCCGGAUUUAUUGGGUUUAAAGGGUGCGUAGGCGGGCAUUUAAGCCGGCGGUCAAAUGUCGGGGCUCAACCCCGGCCUGCCGUCGGAACUGGGUGCCUUGAGUGGGCGAGAAGUAUGCGGAAUGCGUGGUGUAGCGGUGAAAUGCAUAGAUAUCACGCAGAACCCCGAUUGCGAAGGCAGCAUACCGGCGCCCUACUGACGCUGAGGCACGAAAGUGCGGGUAUCGAACAGGAUUAGAUACCCUAGUAAC